This 557-nucleotide small RNA is filed under the name Pan troglodytes (chimpanzee). Its description in RNAcentral is "retained intron". Lineage: Eukaryota; Metazoa; Chordata; Mammalia; Primates; Hominidae. The record is from RNAcentral.
AGUCGCAACCGCAUCAACAACAUGCACCUAGACAUUGAGAAUGAAGUCAAUAAUGAGAUGGCCAAUCGAAUGUCCCUCUUCUAUGCAGAAGCCACGCCAAUGCUGAAAACCCUUAGCAAUGCCACAAUGCACUUUGUCUCUGAAAACAAAACUCUGCCAAUAGAGAACACCACAGACUGCCUCAGCACAAUGACAAGUGUCUGUAAAGUCAUGCUGGAAACUCCGUAAGUUAAAUCAGAGAUGUAUUCAUGGUUGAGACUUCACCCAGCCAGUGUCUGUUAAGAUGAUGAUGUUAAUGAUAUGCAACAUUUGGGUCAACACCCUAAAGUUUUCAUGUAUAUUAUCUGCUUUAAUUUCACUAAGAACUCUGAGUGGUAGGUGUCACUAUCACUACUGCAUAGCUGAAGAAGCUGAGGCCCAAAGUGGUUGACUGACUUCCCAACAACUGCAUAGCUUGUCAGGUGGCAGAACCAAGGCUCAGAUCAAAGAUGCUGUAGAAGAUGUGUAAGAACCAAAUGGAGGGUGUGUUAAAUGAUGGGACAUCAUGAUAAAUAUAU